CUCCUUUCAUGGAAACAAAUCCUUGGUACCCUGGAUGACAUGGUAUAUUUAACCAGAGGGAUGGGGGAAUAGGUGUCAAAGGUGUCAACAUCUCUUGCAGGUUUCUUCAGCAUGCAGACAUACAGCAAAAACUCACUUUACUGAGGGGCCUUUUCUCCAGAUUCAGGUAUAUUUCGGGGAGAGGAUCUUUUCCUUGAUCUCCAAAAUGGAAAUUAUAUCACCUACUGGUGUGAUGCCUUCUUGAACCACAGACCCAGCUGUAAGAAGAUGAUGCCUGACUUCAAGCACUGAAAGACAUGCUUCUUUGGAAGAGAGCCUGAGCAAGACUUGACAGUAGACAUAGUUUAUCCUGUUUACUGUCAUCAGCCAGUAAAGAAGCCAGCAUUAUCUCUAAAAGCCUCAAACUGGAAACAGCCCAAGGGUCCAACAGGUCAAGACCAUGUUUUCACAAAGCAAUGGAAUACAAUUGUAUUGAUCCAACCACCAGGUUUAUAAAAUAAAAAAGAGGAAUAGGAUCUUCUAAA
Long non-coding RNA from Odocoileus virginianus texanus, 524 nucleotides. RefSeq lists it as uncharacterized. Lineage: Eukaryota; Metazoa; Chordata; Mammalia; Artiodactyla; Cervidae. The record is from RefSeq and is a predicted model, not a curated record.